UCUUGCUCAAGUCUGUUCGGUGCCCUAUUCAUUCAGUUGUGUGCGAUCUAUGUGCCUAUGACUCCAAAUUUACUGCCCUAUUCAUUCAAUCCCGAUCGCGACCGCAUCAAGUAAAUUUUCUCGUUGCCUUUUAAGCUGUGCGCAUUCUGCAUUUGUGAGGGGGUAAGACAGCGGAGUUCAAGUUCGUGAUAAUAGCUAAAGGAGGUAAGUGUAUUAUUUGGGAGGAAGGGGAUAAUCGGUUGUUGGUUGUUCCAAAGAGUGGGUUUUAUGAUUUGGUAUGCGGAUGGAAUGAGAUGAGACAAGUGUUGAAUCUUCUGGCAAAGUUGAGUGAGGAGAAAGUGGAAGGCGAAGGUGAUGGUGAUUAACAUGGAUGAUGAGGGAGUUGUUGUUGAGGCAAAAGAAGAGGCUAUUUAUUUUGUGGAGCAAUGAUAGGGAAGCUAUGUUUCAUUUAUGCAAUCUAAUGAGCACAGAAAUAGGUUGAAAGAGAGGAGAUGGUACAUUAAGGGGCUUGAUGGCCUUGCACUAGAGAUGGUAGAGAGAGACAAAACUGUUAGGAAUUGGUGGUGCAAGGAUAAGGGCAACGACAGUUAGAAAUGGGGCUGAGCCAAAGGCUAGAAGUGGAGAGAGAGAUACCAUUUGAUCAAGAAACUGGAAUCAAUUCUUCUUAUUACCUCAGUGCACCAAGGCCAUUGAGACCACUGUUCAGAUUCCAAAUAGCUUUUUGGCUGCAAGCUGGAGUGGAUGCCAAUGAAGUGUCGAAAUAGAGAUGUUACGAAUCUAAUUUUAGGGAAUAUAAUUUAGAUGAUAGAAAAAAUUUCUAUUUUCUACAACUGCCUUGUCUACUAAUAUUUCAGGUCCACAAAAUCGAGUGCAAAUCAAUUCAACUCAGGAUACACAUGCGCAUGGAAAAAUUCUGUCUACUUUGAAUGUUUUUUAUUUUUGAUCACAUCAUCCUAGUCGAUUCCAAAUUAUCUGGUCGAUCAGUUAAAAAUAGAAACCUUAAUUAGGGCAUCCUGGUUAAGGCAGUUGCAAUUAAGUAAAUCAUCUUAGAUUAUAUUAUCAUC
Long non-coding RNA from Dendrobium catenatum, 1064 nucleotides. RefSeq lists it as uncharacterized. NCBI's taxonomy places the organism in Eukaryota, Viridiplantae, Streptophyta, Magnoliopsida, Asparagales, Orchidaceae. The record is from RefSeq and is a predicted model, not a curated record. The transcript has 3 exons.